UAGGGUGACUGAACAUGGGACACCAAAGCCCUUUCGAAAGUAAGUAAAUCUUAAGCAGCUUUCAAUAAAGGCGCAUUUUAAGAAACGUAACCUUUUUUCCUCUAAAGUUUCAUUUUAAAGGAAAAGAAACCCUGUAUACCAAUCUGUUAUGUAGUAUAAAAGAAAGCUCUUAAGAAACACGGGUCAUUCAAAAGCUGUAUUUUGAAGUAUGUAUAAAACAGCCAUUUGUAGGAGAGGAUGAAAUUUCAGUCUCUGUGCUAAGUCAGAUUCAGGAAUCUGAUUAGAAUUUAUUGUAAUAUAAAGAUUUGUGCUGUUUCUCGUUGUCCACCUGAAGUCUUCAAAUUGAAUUCACUCUUUUUUCUUCAUAGGUUUGACAGUGUAGCUUUUGGAGAAAGUCAAAGUGAGGAUGAACAAUUUGAAAAUGACUUAGAGACAGAUCCACCCAACUGGCAGCAGCUUGUUAGUCGAGAAGUGUUACUGGGACUAAAACCUUGUGAGAUCAAAAGACAGGAAGUGAUUAAUGGUGAGUGUAAUCAAUUUGUUGUUGUUGUUUACAAAUACUGAGUUUUGUCAGAGUAAAUUAAGUCUCUCAGCCUUGGAGUUUGCUUCAAAGUUUCUCCUAGCCUUUUGUUUUAAACAAAGAGGAAAUUAAACUGGACGGAUAAUCCUUGAACUCAAGAAAAUGCAAAUGCUUCUGUGAUUCUUAUUGAUAAUUUAAAAGGAAAACGUGUUAAGCCUUAAAGAUAUUUAAGAUUCAUAGCAUUAUAGAUCUUAAAGUUGAAAAGUCAUUGCAACAACUAAGUUAUUUUUAUGCAUAGAUUUUAAAUGAGGAACGUAAGGCCCAGGGAGAUUGAAUUCGUUAAGAUCAUACAGCUAAUAACGUGUAAGGAAAAAAAUUUAGUUCCUGGUCUUUCUGUAUCGAAGUGCAGUGUUCUUUAUUUACCCUAGCAUGUAUGUGACAAAUGUGUGGCAUGGAUGCUAUACCCUUUACUAUUCUUAGCAUGUGAUAUGAAUAAAUAUCUUGUCUCUGACAAUACUGAGACAUAAUGAAAUUAUAAGCCUGACCCAAGAAAUGAGUGUUUAUAGGCAAAUUAGAUAACCAAAAGUACUAUUAUUUCUUAAGCGGGCUCAAGUUAAAGGCUAUAUGAUAUUGGGGCUUACAGUUUUCUUAAUGAUGUAGUUGUGAUAGGUGGGUAUUAUUGUAAACGGAUGUGUUUGGGAAUACACUAAAAAAAAUAGUUUUGAAUGAUAUUUUUUAUUUGUCAGUAUUCAACUCUCAGAGCCAGUAUGCAGGAGAAUUUCUUGGAAUCAGAAUGACUUCAGAGAUAUUUCAUCCGUUCUAAAUGAUAAAUAAUUUAUUAUAUAAUGCAUUUGCUACUUCACUCCAGCUAAAGACUAUGAUUGAUCCCAUGGAAUUGUUCUAAGUAAGGCAACAUUUCAUAUGUCUUUCCUGCUCAGAAUUGUUCUACACUGAAAGAGCUCAUGUUCGAACGCUGAAGGUUCUUGAUCAAGUGUUCUAUCAGCGAGUGUCCAGAGAAGGAAUUCUGUCACCCUCAGAGCUACGGAAAAUUUUUUCAAACUUGGAAGAUAUUCUUCAACUUCACAUUGGAUUGAAUGAACAAAUGAAGGCUGUUCGAAAGAGAAAUGAGACCUCUGUUAUCGAUCAGAUUGGGGAAGAUUUGCUGACAUGGUUCAGCGGACCAGGAGAGGAGAAAUUGAAACAUGCUGCUGCUACCUUUUGCAGUAACCAACCUUUCGCCCUGGAAAUGAUCAAGUCUCGUCAGAAAAAGGAUUCUCGAUUUCAGACUUUUGUGCAAGAUGCUGAAAGUAAUCCACUGUGUCGUCGUCUUCAACUGAAGGAUAUUAUUCCCACUCAAAUGCAAAGGCUUACUAAGUACCCACUUCUGUUGGAUAAUAUUGCCAAAUACACAG
Molecule: small RNA, 1932 nt
Filed under: Pongo abelii (Sumatran orangutan)
Lineage: Eukaryota; Metazoa; Chordata; Mammalia; Primates; Hominidae
Description: retained intron
Source: RNAcentral